UACGUAGGUCCCGAGCGUUGUCCGGAUUUAUUGGGCGUAAAGCGAGCGCAGGUGGUUUAUUAAGUCUGGUGUAAAAGGCAGUGGCUCAACCAUUGUAUGCAUUGGAAACUGGUAGACUUGAGUGCAGGAGAAGAGAGUGGAAUUCCAUGUGUAGCGGUGAAAUGCGUAGAUAUAUGGAGGAACACCGGUGGCGAAAGCGGCUCUCUGGCCUGUAACUGACACUGAGGCUUGAAAGCGUGGGGAGCAAACAGG
This 252-nucleotide ribosomal RNA is filed under the name uncultured bacterium. RNAcentral's name for it is "partial 16S ribosomal RNA". It matches the Rfam family "Bacterial small subunit ribosomal RNA", at positions 524 to 776 of the family's 1533-position model. The record is from RNAcentral.